UUUUAAUAAUAAACUGCACAAAAACUAAAUAAUAAAUGUAAUAGCUAGGAACAGAAUUCUACAACCUAUAUCCAAAAGGGUAACUAUUUAAUGAGGUUAUUUUUGCAUAAUACUGUUUGAUUUUCUUUUCUGAAGUAACAGGACUCAAACAUAUUUUUAAAUGUUUGCAAAAGUUUGGACAAAAUAUAUUGAUAUUAUGCAUAUUAUACAUAAAACAUCUUUAAGUGUAUGGAUACAUUGUGAAAUGCAAGUGCCAGUGCUGCUAAAGCAAUACAUUUUCCAUACAUUGUG
Long non-coding RNA from Sander lucioperca (pikeperch), 291 nucleotides. RefSeq lists it as uncharacterized. The record is from RefSeq and is a predicted model, not a curated record. The transcript is spliced from 2 exons. NCBI's taxonomy places the organism in Eukaryota, Metazoa, Chordata, Actinopteri, Perciformes, Percidae.